RNAcentral lists this ribosomal RNA (793 nucleotides) under uncultured archaeon. RNAcentral describes it as "bacterial SSU rRNA". It matches the Rfam family "Archaeal small subunit ribosomal RNA", at positions 85 to 879 of the family's 1478-position model. The record is from RNAcentral.
ACGGCUCAGUAACACGUGGACAACCUGCCCUUAGGUUGGGUAUAAACCCGGGAAACUGGGUAUAAUACCCGAUAGGUCUCGAUUGCUGGAAUGCAUCGAGAUUUAAAGCUCCGGCGCCUAAGGAUGGGUCUGCGGCCUAUCAGGUAGUAGUGGGUGUAGCGUACCUACUAGCCUACGACGGGUACGGGUUGUGAGAGCAAGAGCCCGGAGAUGGAUUCUGAGACACGAAUCCAGGCCCUACGGGGUGCAGCAGGCGCGAAAACUUUACAAUGCUGGCAACAGCGAUAAGGGAACCUCGAGUGCCGGGUUACAAAUCUGGCUGUCGAGAUGCCUAAAAAGCAUUUCAUAGCAAGGGCCGGGCAAGACCGGUGCCAGCCGCCGCGGUAACACCGGCGGCUCGAGUGGUAACCGUUAUUAUUGGGUCUAAAGGGUCUGUAGCCGGCCGGAUAAGUCUCUUGAGAAAUCUGGCAGCUUAACUGUCAGGCUUUCAGGAGAUACUGUCUGGCUCGAGGCCGGGAGAGGUGAGAGGUACUUCAGGGGUAGGGGUGAAAUCUUGUAAUCCUUGAAGGACCACCAGUGGCGAAGGCGUCUCACCAGAACGGACCUGACGGCAAGGGACGAAAGCUAGGGGCACGAACCGGAUUAGAUACCCGGGUAGUCCUAGCCGUAAACGAUACUCGCUAGGUGUCGGCCACGGUGCGACCGUUGUCGGUGCCGUAGGGAAGCCGUGAAGCGAGCCACCUGGGAAGUACGGCCGCAAGGCUGAAACUUAAAGGAAUUGGCGGGGGAGCAC